Molecule: ribosomal RNA, 253 nt
Filed under: uncultured bacterium
Lineage: Bacteria
Description: partial 16S ribosomal RNA
Rfam family: Bacterial small subunit ribosomal RNA
Source: RNAcentral
AACGUAGGGGACGAGCGUUAUCCGGAUUUACUGGGCGUAAAGCGCCCGUAGGCGGCCUGGAAAGUUGGCUGUGAAAGCUCCCGGCUUAACUGGGAGAGGUCAGUCAAAACUGUUAGGCUAGAGGCUGAGAUAGGCGAGCGGAAUUCCCGGUGUAGUGGUGGAAUGCGUAGAGAUCGGGAGGAACACCAGUGGCGAAAGCGGCUCGCUGGUUCAGCCCUGACGCUGAGGGGCGAAAGCGUGGGGAGCGAACGGG